Podarcis muralis (Common wall lizard) is the source of this 312-nucleotide non-coding RNA. The record is from RefSeq and is a predicted model, not a curated record. Lineage: Eukaryota; Metazoa; Chordata; Lepidosauria; Squamata; Lacertidae.
CGAUUCUUUCUUUCAGACAAAGUGGUAAAGAAGGGGAAGAAGGAUAAAAAGACCAAAAAGUCGUUCUUUGAGGAACUGGCUGUGGAGGAGAAACAUGCCAGUGAGGAGCAAGCAGUUGAGAAAGAGCAGCAGCAGCAACAACAACAACAACAGCAGCCCCAGCAAAAGAAGCGACGAGACAAGAAAAAAGACAGAAAGAAAAAAGAUGCGGAAGACGACGACGACGAGAACCAGCUGAUUGAGCGGCUGAAGAAGCUGUCGGCCCAAGCCAGCGAUGAGGAAGAGGAAGGUUGGAGGCUGCGAUCUUAGGGG